This is a long non-coding RNA of Drosophila ananassae, 1620 nucleotides long. RefSeq lists it as uncharacterized. NCBI's taxonomy places the organism in Eukaryota, Metazoa, Arthropoda, Insecta, Diptera, Drosophilidae. The record is from RefSeq and is a predicted model, not a curated record. The transcript is spliced from 4 exons.
CAAACGGCAGAGAUACAGAUACAGAACCGGUGCGCAUCUCAAUUCAGCAAAUACUGAAAAUGGAAUUCUUGCCGAAAACCACAAAAUGCAAUCCGGAUUCCGCGGAUGCAUCGGCUCCAGAAGUGGCCAAAAAGAGGCAAGAAGUGGCCAAAAAGAGGCAAGAAGUGGCCAAAAAUAGGCCAGAAUUUUCGCCGGAGAGGAUCGCGGUAACUCCUCGGAGGUCGCCCAGUCCCCUUGGAGAAUUAAGUAAUGUAAUGAGUCCUUUGCCGAAUCUUCCGAGCCCCCCCCGUGCAGUGGAGGAUAAUUUAAUUAAUUUAUCGGCCACGCCUCCUCGCAAAAGAAGGAGGUUCCACCCCACAAUUUUUUGGAAGCCGGAAUCGCACAAGGACGGCAGUGGUCGAGAGUGGACCACAUUAAAAUAUCAAUGCGAAAUUUGUUUUAAAAUUUGCCAAAAACCGAAGGCAUAUGAGAACCACAUAAUGUUGUGCAAAAAUGAUUGCAAAACAGUGGCUUGCAAGUGGUGCCCCUAUGUCCAAAAGUCCUCCAAUUUGGGAAAUCACUGGAAGAGGUGCAUAGGGGGGAAAAAAUUGUAUAUCCCCAUUGGGGAACAAUUGAAGCAGCGGAAAAUGUGGUCCGAAAUGAAGGACACGUCGGGAUCGAAAUCGCAAGUGGAAAGUGUGGCCUCCACCCAAGAUUUUGGAUUUUCGGAAACGAUGCAGUUCGUCUUCAAUUCCAUUGAUGAAGACUUUUGAAAAAAUAUUGCCCACGGAGAAGUUACUUCCUUUCGUGUUUUAUUUUACCUCUCGCUGAAAACCCGAUCCAGCUUUCACAUAAUCCUGCCCAGCUUGUCCAGCUUACAACAACUAUUUUACAGAAUUUCCCUGGUUAUUAUUAUCUGCAUAUACAUACAUAUAUUAUCUGUACAUAUAUAUAUAUAUAUAUAUAUAUUUUGAUUUUCGUUUUAGUGUUGAAAAUUUCUCAAAUUAAGCUGUUGAAAGUGUUGAAAAUUUCUCAAAUUAAGCUGUUGAAAGUGUUGAAAAUUUCUCAAAUUAAGCUGCUGGAAAAAUAAAUUUUUUUUCAAUUUUUUUAUUUCAAUUUUUUACAAUUAAUUUGUGUUACCAUUUAAACAAGCGCCAGCAAGAGAAUUGCUACAAUUUGUUGCAUUAUUUUGGCUAAAUUCUAAUAAUUACUACAAGUCCACGUCGUGUUUACAAUUUUCUUAGGCUAGUGAUGGGAGUAUUGACCCGGCUGUUGCGAUAGUCGCUACAUACCAAAGGCACCCUGUACUUAGCCGAAACGAAAAAAGCAACGAUAAAGGGUAUUAUAUCUUUGCUACCUGCGGGAGAAAGCUAUUUACAUAAAACAAGGCACCAGUCGCCGAGUCUGAAAAGAGAGUCAUCAUCAUCGUUGUUUCUGGACGAAGCCGGUUUUUGGGAAAGUCGCCAAAGUCAGGGAGUGGUUCCAGACCCCAGACCCCAAUCCCUAAUCCCCAACAGAGCUCCAAUCCCGCUCCAAUGGUCGCGUGCGAGGUGUGGGUUUAUGUACAUAAGUAUUUUCUUAAAAAAUGUUUUUCUUAUUUAAAUAUAAUUAAUAAAAUAUGAAAUAAAUAAUAAAAAAAUA